UCCACACGUACCCAUCCCGAACACGACCGUUAAGCCCUCCAGCGCCGAUGGUACUUGGACCGCAGGGUCCUGGGAGAGUAGGACGUCGCCAAGC
Molecule: ribosomal RNA, 94 nt
Filed under: Paenibacillus polymyxa
Lineage: Bacteria; Bacillati; Bacillota; Bacilli; Caryophanales; Paenibacillaceae
Also listed under: 4 other names
Source: RNAcentral